Chiroxiphia lanceolata (lance-tailed manakin) is the source of this 1044-nucleotide long non-coding RNA. RefSeq lists it as uncharacterized. The record is from RefSeq and is a predicted model, not a curated record. NCBI's taxonomy places the organism in Eukaryota, Metazoa, Chordata, Aves, Passeriformes, Pipridae. The transcript has 5 exons.
GGAGCGGCGGGGCCGGGCCGGGCUGGGUGGCGCGGCGGUCCGAGCUCCCCGCCCUGCUGGGCCGGCGUCGUGUUCUCUCUAGGACCGCCAAAGCUGUCUCGGCAGUGUCACUCGCGCCCUUGACCAGCGAGCCCGCUGGAAUUUAGUGACUGGGAUCGACGUCGCCGUUCGCAGUAAAGGGGAGCGCACGGACUCGGGGAAGGUCCCGUUCUCUGGUGAGGAGGUGGCCGCCCGCGCUCUGGGAGCAGGGGGAACUGGCUCCUCCUGGGGAGGAGAGUGCCUGGGGUAAGAAGCUCGGAGAUCAUCCUGACAUCACUGCAACCAUGAUUUCACCAGGCUCGUGCACUAUGAGGUUAUUGCGAUCUGAAAUCUCUGCUGCUGGAAGGAGGAAUUUAUUCACAAGACUCUAAUCCAGGAUGACCCUUCACUCCUACAAACCUGCUGAUGAGUGAUGGCAGUGCCCCCCGAGUCGAGCUCACAACAUGCUCAGGAGCUGCCUUCCUCUGGAGCAUCCUGCAUCACAGCCCCCGGGCCCUGAGUGCAAGGUGUACCUGUGAACCAACAGUGAAGCACACACCAAGGAUCUGCAGGACGCUCCUUCCCCUCACUGUGCACAGACCAUGCCAGGGGGUGGCACAUGCAGAUGGGCAGUGCUGGAGGGCACAAGCGACUGCAGCGGCUCCUUGCUGCUCCCGUGCAGACUGUGGAUGCCAUGGGGUUUACAGCCGGCCACGUCAGCAGCAGGAACGCAGCUCUGGCGUGCCCCUCUCCAUGGUGCAGGCUGGGCACAGGAGUGGUGCUUACAUAGGUGAGGAGAAAGCGUUUUUGCAACAGCAUGGAAAAUGUGUAUGAGGAGACAAGACAUCAGGCUGCCAUCAGCACAAAUGUAUCUGUGCCUUAUUUUUCUGCUUUCCUGGCUCCCAGACAAGUGCCACCAAAACCAACAAUUUUCCUGUCCUUUCUUUCCUUUGCUUUCACAAGUAUCUUAAACCAAACCCCUCCUUCCCAGCAGAAACAGGAUGUGCUGCUGGGUAUAGAAUAAAA